Drosophila subobscura is the source of this 422-nucleotide long non-coding RNA. RefSeq lists it as uncharacterized. Lineage: Eukaryota; Metazoa; Arthropoda; Insecta; Diptera; Drosophilidae. The transcript has 2 exons. The record is from RefSeq and is a predicted model, not a curated record.
CGGCAUUGCGGCACAGUUCAGUUGGAAGUGCCGCCGAGUAAAGACAGAGGAUCGACAAGUCUCUCACUAAGCCAAGCCGCCACCGCCUAGUGCGGGGCGUGGCGGCCCAACCAAGUCCAAGUGCUCGCUCAACUUAAUUAAAGUCAAUUAAUUGCUUUGAAAGUGAAUCGAUAAAAGUGUUUUUCAAAUUAUUCGGAAACUGCCCUCGAAAAUCUGCUACAGGAUCUUCACAAUAGUUCGAAUCCUUCAUCCAGAUUGUAUGAUAAACCAAGCAGCCAAAGAAGCUUAGACCGAUAAAUAAAUAUUGCUCAAACUCAACAAGUUGUCAGCCGCAAAGGAAAAUUCAAUAAUAAUUCCAAUCCAAUAGCUGUAAAGGUUUCGCUUUAUUCAAGAAACAAAAGACUCGACUCAGACAAUGUGGG